CGUAGGGUGCGAGCGUUAAUCGGAAUUACUGGGCGUAAAGCGUGCGCAGGCGGUUUUGUAAGUCAGUGGUGAAAUCCGGCAGCUCAACUGUCGAACUGCCAUUGAUACUGCAGGACUUGAAUUAUUGUGAAGUAACUAGAAUAUGUAGUGUAGCGGUGAAAUGCUUAGAUAUUACAUGGAAUACCAAUUGCGAAGGCAGGUUACUAACAAUACAUUGACGCUGAUGGACGAAAGCGUGGGGAGCGAACAGGAUUAGAUACCCUGGUAGUCCACGCCGUAAACGAUAGAUACUAGCUGUUUGGUAGCAAUACUGAGUGGCUAAGCGAAAGUGAUAAGUAUCCCACCUGGGGAGUACGGGCGCAAGCCUG
Molecule: ribosomal RNA, 368 nt
Filed under: uncultured organism
Description: bacterial SSU rRNA
Rfam family: Bacterial small subunit ribosomal RNA
Source: RNAcentral